Molecule: ribosomal RNA, 540 nt
Filed under: uncultured bacterium
Lineage: Bacteria
Description: bacterial SSU rRNA
Rfam family: Bacterial small subunit ribosomal RNA
Source: RNAcentral
AAAUAGAUACCCAGGUAGUCCACGCCGUAAACGUUGGGCGCUAGAUGUGGGGACCUUUCCACGGGUUUCCGUGUCGUAGCUAACGCAUUAAGCGCCCCGCCUGGGGAGUACGGCCGCAAGGCUAAAACUCAAAGGAAUUGACGGGGGCCCGCACAAGCGGCGGAGCAUGCGGAUUAAUUCGAUGCAACGCGAAGAACCUUACCAAGGCUUGACAUACACGAGAACGGGCCAGAAAUGGUCAACUCUUUGGACACUCGUGAACAGGUGGUGCAUGGUUGUCGUCAGCUCGUGUCGUGAGAUGUUGGGUUAAGUCCCGCAACGAGCGCAACCCUCGUCGCAUGUUGCCAGCACGUUAUGGUGGGGACUCAUGUGAGACUGCCGGGGUCAACUCGGAGGAAGGUGGGGAUGACGUCAAAUCAUCAUGCCCCUUAUGUCUUGGGCUUCACGCAUGCUACAAUGGCCGGUACAAGGGCUGCGAUGUCGUAAGGCGGAGCGAAUCCCAAAAAGCCGGUCUCAGUUCGGAUUGAGGUCUGCUAACCG